GACGAACGCUGGCGGCGUGCUUAACACAUGCAAGUCGAACGGAAAGGCCCCCUUGUGGGGUACUCGAGUGGCGAACGGGUGAGUAACACGUGAGUAACCUACCCUUGACUUUGGGAUAACUUCAGGAAACUGGGGCUAAUACCGGAUAGGAGCUCCUGCUGCAUGGUGGGGGUUGGAAAGUUUCGGCGGUUGGGGAUGGACUCGCGGCUUAUCAGCUUGUUGGUGGGGUAGUGGCUCACCAAGGCUUUGACGGGUAGCCGGCCUGAGAGGGUGACCGGCCACAUUGGGACGGAGAUACGGCCCAGACCCCUACGGGGGGCAGGGGGGGGGAAUUUUGCAAAAUGGGGGGAAGCCGGAGGCAGAAACGCCGCGGGGGGGAUGACGGCCUUGGGGUUGUAAACCGCUUUCCCCUGGGACGAAGCGGGAGUGACGGUAAUGGGUAAAGAAGCACGGGCUAACUACGU
This 464-nucleotide ribosomal RNA is filed under the name uncultured bacterium. RNAcentral's name for it is "partial 16S ribosomal RNA". It matches the Rfam family "Bacterial small subunit ribosomal RNA", at positions 28 to 506 of the family's 1533-position model. The record is from RNAcentral.